UUAGGUUCUACCAGUCCAACCUUAGAUCCAACCUUAAUUUUACCCAUAGGAUAGGAUCACCAUGGAGUCUGACCUUAGGUGUUAGUAUAGUCCAACCCAGUGUCUAGGACUAACUUAUAACCUUAGAGUUUACUCUAUAGAGCUUACCCUUAGAAGUCCUAUAGUCCAGUGUCUACCCAAUAGUGUGUCCACCCAGUUCAGUAGUGUGUCUAAGAUUAGAUAAUUAGGUAGUUAUACAACCC
This 242-nucleotide long non-coding RNA is filed under the name Elaeis guineensis (African oil palm). RNAcentral describes it as "long non-coding RNA (EGUI_LNC040800)". Lineage: Eukaryota; Viridiplantae; Streptophyta; Magnoliopsida; Arecales; Arecaceae. The record is from RNAcentral.